This is a non-coding RNA of Oncorhynchus keta (chum salmon), 83 nucleotides long. Lineage: Eukaryota; Metazoa; Chordata; Actinopteri; Salmoniformes; Salmonidae. The record is from the annotation of a RefSeq genome assembly.
CCCACUGUGGCUCAGUUGGUAGAGCAUGGUGCUUGCAAUGCCAAGGUUGUGGGUUCAAUUCCCAUGGAGGACCAGUAUUGGGA